AGUCAGACUAUGGGGGAUAAGCUUCAUGGUCGAGAGGGAGACAGCCCAGACCGCCGGCUAAGGUCCCCAAUCCGGACUUAGUGGUUUGAAGGAUGUGAUGUUGCAUAAACAGCCAGGAUGUUGGCUUAGAGGCAGCCAUCAUUUAAAGAGUGCGUAAUAGCUCACUGGUCGAGUGAUAUCGCGCCGAAGAUGAUCGGGACUGAAGUCCAGAACCGAAGCCGCGGAUCGUGAAUUUAUUCACGGUGGUAGAAGAGCGUUGUAUGCGGGUCGAAGCCGAAGAGGGAUCUGAGGUGGACUGCAUACAAGUGACCAUGCAGGCAUGAGUAGCGAAAAACCGGAUGAGAAUUCCGGUCACCGAAAACCUAAGGUUUCCCGGGGAAGGUUCGUCCGCCCGGGGUUAGUCGGAACCUAAGGCGAGGCCGAAAGGCGUAGUCGAUGGAGGACAGGUUAAUAUUCCUGUACCACCUUGUUGGAGUGAUGGAGGGACGCAGUAAGUCAGGUGAGCCAACUGCUGAAUAUGUUGGUCGAAGGCCGUAGGGCGCACGAUAGGCAAAUCCGUCGUGCUUUCAACCCGAGAGUCGUAAGGUAGCCGAACGCAAGUUUGGCGAAUUCACUGUGACGACGCUGACGAGAAAAGCUUCUAAACGUUGAAAACAGGGUGUCCGUACCGAAACCGACACAGGUAGGUGAGGCGAGUAGCCUAAGGUGCGCGAGAGAAACCAACGUUAAGGAACUCGGCAAAUUGACCCCGUAACUUAGGGAUAAGGGGUGCCGCUUCAGGUGAAGGGACUUGCUCCCGGAGCCCGGAGCGGUUGCAACAAAGAGGCUGGUGCGACUGUUUAACAAAAACACAGCUCUAUGCUAACUCGCAAGAGGAUGUAUAUGGAGUGACACGUGACCAAUGCCAAAAGGUCAAUGGGAGAGGUUAGCGCAAGCGAAGCUUCGAUCUGAAGCCCUGGUGAAUGUCGGCCGUAACUAUAACGGUCCUAAGGUAGCGAAAUUCCUUGUCGGGUAAGUUCCGACCUGCACGAAUCGUGUAACGAUGCCAGCACUGUCUCAACGUGGAUCUCGGCGAAGUUGUAAUUCCGGUGAAAAUGCCGGAUACCUGCGGAAGGACGGAAAGACCCCAUGAACCUUUACUGUAAUCUGAUAUUGGUAUUUGAUUGCUCUUGUGUAGCAUAGGUGGGAGGCAGUGAAACCGCUACGCCAGUACCGGUGGAGCCACAGGUGAAAUACCACCCUGGUGUAAUUAGAUAUCUAACGGUGUCCCGUGAAUCCGGGCCCCGGACCGUGUCAGAGGGUCAGUUUGACUGGGGCGGUUUCCUCCUAAAUUGUAACGGAGGAGCCCGAAGGUACACUCAGCACGGUUGGCAAUCGUGUGCAGAGCGUAAGGGUAGAAGUGUGCUUUACUGUAAGACCGACAGGUCGAGCAGUUGCGAAAGCAGGGCCUAGUGAUCCAGCGAUGGAAUGUGGAAUCGUCGUUGCUCAACGGAUAAAAGGUACUCUGGGGAUAACAGGCUGAUAGCGCCCAAGCGUCCAUAGCGACGGCGCUGUUUGGCACCUCGAUGUCGACUCAUCACAUCCUGGGGCUGUAGAAGGUCCCAAGGGUUCGGCUGUUCGCCGAUUAAAGUGGUACGCGAGUUGGGUUCAGAACGUCGUGAGACAGUUCGGUCCUUAUCCUCCGCAGGCGCAGGAUAUUUGAUGGGAUCAUUCCUUAGUACGAGAGGACCGGGAAUGACUGACCUCUGGUGUUCCGGUUGUGGCGUCAGCUGCAUUGCCGGGUAGCUAUGUCGGGAACGGAUAAGCGCUGAAAGCAUCUAAGCGCCAAGCCCACCCAAAGACGAGAUAUCCCUUCCCGCAAGGGACUGAAGGCCGGUCGAAGACUACGACCUUGAUAGGACGGAGAUGUAAGCGCAGUAAUGCGUUCAGUUUACCGUUACUAAUCGGCCGUGAGGCUUAACC
RNAcentral lists this ribosomal RNA (1962 nucleotides) under human gut metagenome. RNAcentral's name for it is "bacterial LSU rRNA". It matches the Rfam family "Bacterial large subunit ribosomal RNA", at positions 982 to 2925 of the family's 2925-position model. The record is from RNAcentral.